Molecule: ribosomal RNA, 325 nt
Filed under: uncultured bacterium
Lineage: Bacteria
Description: bacterial SSU rRNA
Rfam family: Bacterial small subunit ribosomal RNA
Source: RNAcentral
GAUGAACGCUGGCGGCGUGCCUAACACAUGCAAGUCGAACGGAGCUUUGUGGAAUGAUUUCUUCGGAAUGAAUGAAAUAAAGCUUAGUGGCGGACGGGUGAGUAACGCGUGAGUAACCUGCCCUUGAGAGGGGGAUAACGUUCUGAAAAGAACGCUAAUACCGCAUAACGUAUAUUUGUCGCAUGGCAGAUAUACCAAAACUCCGGUGCUCAAGGAUGGACUCGCGUCCGAUUAGAUAGUUGGUGAGGUAACGGCUCACCAAGUCGACGAUCGGUAGCCGGACUGAGAGGUUGAACGGCCACAUUGGGACUGAGACACGGCCCAG